AUUUAUAUAGUAUAAUAAGUACAUUUUAUUUCCAAUAAUAUAGUUUAAAUUUUUUAAUAUAAAUA
RNAcentral lists this transfer RNA (65 nucleotides) under Trichogramma japonicum. RNAcentral's name for it is "tRNA-Gly". Lineage: Eukaryota; Metazoa; Arthropoda; Insecta; Hymenoptera; Trichogrammatidae. The record is from RNAcentral.